This 495-nucleotide ribosomal RNA is filed under the name uncultured bacterium. RNAcentral's name for it is "partial 16S ribosomal RNA". It matches the Rfam family "Bacterial small subunit ribosomal RNA", at positions 28 to 507 of the family's 1533-position model. The record is from RNAcentral.
GACGAACGCUGGCGGCGUGCCUAAUACAUGCAAGUAGAACGCUGAAGGAGGAGCUUGCUUCUCUGGAUGAGUUGCGAACGGGUGAGUAACGCGUAGGUAACCUGCCUGGUAGCGGGGGAUAACUAUUGGAAACGAUAGCUAAUACCGCAUAAUAGUAGAUGUUGCAUGACAUUUGCUUAAAAGGUGCAAUUGCAUCACUACCAGAUGGACCUGCGUUGUAUUAGCUAGUUGGUGAGGUAACGGCUCACCAAGGCGACGAUACAUAGCCGACCUGAGAGGGUGAUCGGCCACACUGGGACUGAGACACGGCCCAGACUCCUACGGGAGGCAGCAGUAGGAAAUCUUCGGCAAUGGACGGAAGUCUGACCGAGCAGCGCCGCGUGAGUGAAGAAGGUUUUCGGAUCGUAAAGCUCUGUUGUAAGAGAAGAACGAGUGUGAGAGUGGAAAGUUCACACUGUGACGGUAUCUUACCAGAAAGGGACGGCUAACUACGUG